RNAcentral lists this ribosomal RNA (270 nucleotides) under uncultured prokaryote. Its description in RNAcentral is "partial 16S ribosomal RNA". It matches the Rfam family "Bacterial small subunit ribosomal RNA", at positions 524 to 794 of the family's 1533-position model. The record is from RNAcentral.
UACGGAGGAUCCGAGCGUUAUCCGGAUUUAUUGGGUUUAAAGGGUGGCAGGCGGGAGAUUAAGUCGGCGGUGAAAUUUUGCAGCUCAACUGUAAAAGUGCCUUCGAAACUGGUUUCCUUGAGUGUAGAUGAAGUAGGCGGAAUUUGUGGUGUAGCGGUGAAAUGCAUAGAUAUCACGAGGAACUCCGAUUGCGCAGGCAGCUUACUAAACUACUACUGACGCUCAGGCACGAAGGCGUGGGGAUCAAACAGGAUUAGAUACCCCGGUAGU